RNAcentral lists this transfer RNA (85 nucleotides) under Felis catus (domestic cat). It matches the Rfam family "tRNA". From Rfam's summary of the family: Transfer RNA (tRNA) molecules are approximately 80 nucleotides in length. Lineage: Eukaryota; Metazoa; Chordata; Mammalia; Carnivora; Felidae. The record is from Rfam by way of RNAcentral.
GCCUGGGUGGCUCAGUCGGUUGAGCGUCUGACUUCGGCUCAGGUCAUGAGUCCGCAGUCCGUGAGUUCGAGCCCCGCAUCAGGCU